Molecule: ribosomal RNA, 429 nt
Filed under: Bacteroidota bacterium
Lineage: Bacteria; Pseudomonadati; Bacteroidota
Description: Bacteroidetes bacterium partial 16S ribosomal RNA
Rfam family: Bacterial small subunit ribosomal RNA
Source: RNAcentral
UAGGGAAUCUUCGGCAAUGGGGGGAACCCUGACCGAGCAACGCCGCGUGAGUGAAGAAGGUUUUCGGAUCGUAAAGCUCUGUUGUUAAGGAAGAACGAGUGUGAGAAUGGAAAGUUCAUACUGUGACGGUACUUAACCAGAAAGGGACGGCUAACUACGUGCCAGCAGCCGCGGUAAUACGUAGGUCCCGAGCGUUGUCCGGAUUUAUUGGGCGUAAAGCGAGCGCAGGCGGUUAGAUAAGUCUGAAGUUAAAGGCAGUGGCUCAACCAUUGUAGGCUUUGGAAACUGUUUAACUUGAGUGCAGAAGGGGAGAGUGGAAUUCCAUGUGUAGCGGUGAAAUGCGUAGAUAUAUGGAGAAACACCGGUGGCGAAAGCGGCUCUGUGGUCUGUAACAGACGCUGAGGCUCGAAAGCGUGGGGAGCGAACAGG